Molecule: long non-coding RNA, 342 nt
Filed under: Lathyrus oleraceus (garden pea)
Lineage: Eukaryota; Viridiplantae; Streptophyta; Magnoliopsida; Fabales; Fabaceae
Description: Pisum sativum (pea) long non-coding RNA (PSAT_LNC000844)
Source: RNAcentral
UUUAACUCAUAACCAUUUUUUUAAUCCAUAAUCCAAUUCUUCAACCCAUUUCAAUCACAAGCCAAUCAUCAUAAUAGUAGCAAUUAUAUACAUACAGUACUAACUUCACAUUGAAUUCUAUUAUUUUUACAACAUACAUUCAGCAUUAGCAUGAUAAAUACAAUUCCAUCCUAUUACACCCAUUGUCUAUAUCCUAAGGCAAAUAACUAUGGACAACACGGAAACAGUUACGGUUAUGCCAUGAAUUUGCAAAUGUGAUUCUUCCAAACUUCCAACUGAAAACACCAGCUGCAGCAGAACCAAGCCUGCUUUCAAUCAGACCUUCAAAACCUUGCAGCAAAC